GACGAACGCUGGCGGCGUGCUUAACACAUGCAAGUUGAACGGAAAGGCCCUGCUUGCAGGGCACUCGAGGGGCGCACGGGUGUGUAACACGUGGGUGAUCCGCCCUGCUCUUCGGCAUACGCCUGGUAAACUGGGUCUAAUACCCGAUAGGAGCCAAUUUUAGUGUGAUGGUUGGAAAGUUUUUUCGGUGUCGGCUGUGUUCGCGGCCUAUCAGCUUGUUGGUGGGGUAAUGGCCUACCACGGCGGCGUCGGGUAGCCGGCCUGGGAGGGUGGACGGCCACCUCGGGCCUGAGAAACGGCCCACUCUCCAGCGGGAGGCAGCAGAGGGGCAUAUUACCAUAUGGGUGCAAGCCUGAUGACGAGACUGUGCGUGGGGGAUGACGGCCUUCGGGUUGUAAGCUCCUUUCGAUAGGGACUAAGCUUUUUAUGACGGUACCUAGAUGAGAAGCACCGGCUAACUACGUG
This 465-nucleotide ribosomal RNA is filed under the name uncultured bacterium. RNAcentral describes it as "partial 16S ribosomal RNA". It matches the Rfam family "Bacterial small subunit ribosomal RNA", at positions 28 to 507 of the family's 1533-position model. The record is from RNAcentral.